This 116-nucleotide non-coding RNA is filed under the name Nomascus leucogenys (northern white-cheeked gibbon). Lineage: Eukaryota; Metazoa; Chordata; Mammalia; Primates; Hylobatidae. The record is from Rfam by way of RNAcentral.
GCUGGGUGUGGUGGCUCACACCUGUAAUCCCAGCACUUGGGAGGCCGAGGUGGGUGGAUCACCUGAGGUCAGGAGUUCAAGACCAGUCUGACCAACGUGGUGAAACCCCAUCUCUA